Molecule: long non-coding RNA, 1064 nt
Organism: Macadamia integrifolia
Lineage: Eukaryota; Viridiplantae; Streptophyta; Magnoliopsida; Proteales; Proteaceae
Exons: 2
Source: RefSeq, a predicted model, not a curated record
GAGGAAUUUGUGGAAUGGACUUCUGGAUAUAGCAAGGGGCUGACCCUUCUUCUGUUGGGUGAGAAGAACGAAGAAAGACCCAUGAGACUGUAACCGUGGAAUCAAUACCAGUUGAUGGAGCAAGAAAUUGAUUCUGACCUCCAGCUGGCUUCCAGGAAGAAUCGGGUGUCCCGCGGAUGCGCUGCCUUUGUUUGCUUUGGUCGCGCUUCUGGAGGACUCGAGGGCCCCUCCCCACCCAAAGUGGGUCCUGUCCAGCAGCAGGAUAUUGUGGCAGUGUCUCCUGCUGUUUCUGACAAGAAUGAGGAUUGUCUCUCUCAUGAUCUCAUCAUGGGGAUGAUAGAAGUAUAAAAAAAGUUCGUCUCAAGAGCAGCUUAAAGAAGUCUUCCUAUUACACUACAAAUCAAUUAGCUAGUGGGGAGGGUAACUUUCAUGAGACAUCAAAUGAAACAGUUAGCGAGGCCCCUGGUUUUGAGAGGAGGAAAGUGCAGUGGACAGAUGCACACGGGAAAGAACUUGUUGAGGUCAGGGAGCUUGAACUCAGUGCAAGGAAAAGAAAAAUUCAAACUAAUCUUACUGAGAAUUACUGAAGUAUGUUCUGGAUUUUGUCUCCACCAUUACGUGGACAUGAUUUGUAAUUGUGCUACACCUGGCCACAGUUGGGCUUGGUGCGAUCCCUGUCAGCAUCUACACUCAAACAGGUUUUCCAAUCUUUUGCAUUGAUUUGUACCAGCAUCUCUAAGCUUGUGCAUUUGAAGUGGCUUGAAGAGUGCCAUAGAAUCAAAGUUUCUAUGUUAAGCUUGUCCCAAGUCCUCCAGAUAUAAGCUAAAUGAAUCUGGUUUCACCAUUCCGCCUGAUCUGGGGUCCCUAUUUUUGAUAAGAGCUAGCUUGGCUAGAAGAUGCCAGAGAAAAAGCCAGAGAUCCUAUUGGUCUGUCAAUAAACGUACCAUGGCUUCAUGGUUGCCCUGAUCUUGCUGGUGAAAUAGGAAGCACACUACGAAGGCAUUUAUUUUUGAUGUUGGAUUGACAUGAAAUUUUUUGCAAUGCAAUUAGUUUUCAACUCUAAA